Wasmannia auropunctata (little fire ant) is the source of this 507-nucleotide long non-coding RNA. RefSeq lists it as uncharacterized. The record is from RefSeq and is a predicted model, not a curated record. The transcript has 3 exons. NCBI's taxonomy places the organism in Eukaryota, Metazoa, Arthropoda, Insecta, Hymenoptera, Formicidae.
GUCGAGGACCAACGCUUCUUCGUGAACGUGCUAGUGUGGCGCAAUUGGAAUACGCUUGCGAAACAACCAAUCUCGCAGGAGGUGUCUAGUCAGUCUCUAGUCGAAGUGUAAGCGGAUUGGUUUGACGAAGACCUGCUCAAAGUUCCGAAAAUGAUCAGGAGACAGAGAUCCUCAUGUUGGUGUCAGAGAUUCAUCCACAUUCGCAACUUUACCCAAUGAUGAGACAUUACUACUAUGUGGGAAUGACAAGGCAAGAUUGCAAAGAAUAGGCACAUUCGUGAUCUACCCUGUAGAUCCGGGCUUUUGUAGAAUGUAAAUAUCAGAAGCUCGACUCUACAGGUAUCUUACGGAUGACAUGCCACGCGACUCUAGAUUGCGAUGAGUGACGCCAUGCUUGUUUACAUAAUGCAUAAAUAAUGACUUUCCAAGAAUUUGCAGAAUAAUUUGAAUAUUAUUGGUUUCAUUUAUAUAUCAAGAAUUAUUAGUGUAAAGAAAAAACAUAUUUAU